GGAACUUCCUCUUUUGGAUCGCAGAGUUGAUGUGCAGAGCGGCUUUUGCGCCCUUCCAAGGAUCGAAGCAGCAGCUGGAAGCUGUCAUGGCUUCAAUCAGGAACACAAUAGCCAUCUUUUUCUUCCUGCUGGAUUGAGAGCCUUCUCCAGGACAUUUGCAGACUUCCUGAGAUCGACACAAUGUGUUCCCUUCCUUCAUCACCAUUCCAAGCUGAGGAUUUCCAUGAACAAAAGUGGUGCUUCAAAUCUUGUAGAGGCUUUCGGCAUCAUUUCAUCAGUUAAAGCCCCCACAUCUCUAAAUUUAGCUCAGAAGGUUUGA
This 319-nucleotide long non-coding RNA is filed under the name Naja naja (Indian cobra). RNAcentral describes it as "lncRNA (ENSNNAG00000008984.1)". Lineage: Eukaryota; Metazoa; Chordata; Lepidosauria; Squamata; Elapidae. The record is from RNAcentral.